Molecule: ribosomal RNA, 359 nt
Filed under: uncultured bacterium
Lineage: Bacteria
Description: bacterial SSU rRNA
Rfam family: Bacterial small subunit ribosomal RNA
Source: RNAcentral
AGCGAACGCUGGCGGCAGGCUUAACACAUGCAAGUCGAACGGGCACCUUCGGGUGUCAGUGGCAGACGGGUGAGUAACACGUGGGAACGUACCCUUUGGUUCGGAACAACUCUGGGAAACGUGGAGCUAAUACCGGAUACGCCCUUAUGGGGAAAGGUUUACUGCCGAAGGAUCGGCCCGCGUCUGAUUAGCUAGUUGGUGGGUAACGGCCGUACCAAGGCGACGAUCAGUAGCUGGUCUGAGAGGAUGAUCAGCCACACUGGGACUGAGACACGGCCCAGACUCCUACGGGAGGCAGCAGUGGGGAAUAUUGGACAAUGGGCGCAAGCCUGAUGCAGCAACGCCGCGUGCGGGAUGAC